RNAcentral lists this transfer RNA (60 nucleotides) under Actinomycetota bacterium. Its description in RNAcentral is "tRNA-OTHER". The record is from RNAcentral. Lineage: Bacteria; Bacillati; Actinomycetota.
GCGCAUAUCCGUCGCUCCCUUACAAGGAGGGGGUCGCAGGUUCGAUCCCUGCUGCGCCCA